This 449-nucleotide ribosomal RNA is filed under the name Gemella morbillorum. Its description in RNAcentral is "bacterial SSU rRNA". It matches the Rfam family "Bacterial small subunit ribosomal RNA", at positions 28 to 464 of the family's 1533-position model. The record is from RNAcentral. Lineage: Bacteria; Bacillati; Bacillota; Bacilli; Caryophanales; Gemellaceae.
GACGAACGCUGGCGGCGUGCCUAAUACAUGCAAGUCGAGCGAAGUUUUUCUGGUGCUUGCACUAGAAAAACUUAGCGGCGAACGGGUGAGUAACACGUAAAGAACCUGCCUCAUAGACUGGGACAACUACUGGAAACGAUAGCUAAUACCGGAUAACAGUAUUUCUCGCAUGAGAGAUAUUUAAAAGUUGGUUAUGCUAACACUAUGAGAUGGCUUUGCGGUGCAUUAGCUAGUUGGUGGGGUAAAGGCCCACCAAGGCGACGAUGCAUAGCCGACCUGAGAGGGUGAUCGGCCACACUGGGACUGAGACACGGCCCAGACUCCUACGGGAGGCAGCAGUAGGGAAUCUUCCGCAAUGGGCGAAAGCCUGACGGAGCAACGCCGCGUGAGUGAAGAAGGAUUUCGGUUCGUAAAGCUCUGUUGUUAGGGAAGAAUGGAUAUGUAGUAAC